Capsicum annuum is the source of this 1074-nucleotide long non-coding RNA. RefSeq lists it as uncharacterized. The transcript has 2 exons. The record is from RefSeq and is a predicted model, not a curated record. Lineage: Eukaryota; Viridiplantae; Streptophyta; Magnoliopsida; Solanales; Solanaceae.
CUCACUUGAAUACCCAACCGCCCCAAGCCCAAAACUCACUGCCCCAAGACCCGACCAAAUUCUCUUCUUCCUCCCUUGACCCGUGUAAUCACAGAAUAACAAUGGCAAAAUCCGAUUCCAGCAACCUCAACACGUACAAACAACACCAACGACGUCAAUGACCAGUGUAAUCCAAACAAUGCCUUAAAAUUCCAAGAAGCAUGUGAUUAUAACACGUUUUUGUACGAAUCCAAAUUCUGAGGUUUCUAGAAUUUGCCCAGGUGGCAUUCAACAGGAUUUUCCCUUCAAUUAUUCAAAAUUCCUUGUAUCAAUUCGUACAAGUUGUGCUGGCAAACCUUAUCUCUUUUUGAAAAUACCUAAAUCUCCCCCCAAAUUACUCUUCCCACAUUGACAAAAAGUAAAAUCAAUUCCCAAAAUCGUUUUCUAUAUAUACUUCUAUUGGUUUUAUUGAACAAGGUUAGAGGUCCGAUAGCGGGAACCCCGAAAAGCGUAAAAUUUUGCGAUCGAAUAAAAUUUUAGUGCUAAGAAAUUUGAUAAGACUCAUUUGAGCUCAAAAUUCUAAGCUGAGGAUCGAGUUCAUUUUCCAGUAGUGGUGCGAAGAAAAUCUGUCGAAGCUAGUAAGUUCCGAGUUGCUACUCUUGAAAAGGCCCGAGUCAUCGAGUCCGCGAUCCUUCCAAGUUCAAAAAUGAACUGAAAUAAAGAAUAUCAAGGUUGUAUACAAAGAUAUACAAUAUAUAAAUGCCACAUACAGGCCUUGGAAGCUAAUAUACAUGCUCAAAAAGAGCAAAAUGGGAGAAGGAAGGUGGUACACAAAUUUGCAAGUUGGUAUACAAAUUGUAUACAACCAAAAUGUGGAAGAGAAAGACUGUGAUAUACAGUCAAUAUACAUAGCUGAAAGGGCUGAAAAAUCCAUAAAAAUAGGCCCAAAAAUUGGGCAGAUUCCAAUGGGCCAAGUCAGGGGCCCAAAUCUUAAAUUUUUCCUUUUUAGCUUAUUUGUAUCUUCCUAUUUGGUUACUUGUUUGUAAUGAACUUUUAAAUUUGAUUAAAUCAAAUUAAAUCCCUUUUGAAUUGUCA